AAAAAUUUCAAUUAAAAAAUAGAAGCAAGUAAAACCUGCAGGUAUCAUAGGAUCUCAUCAGUGAUCUUAUCUAGCCCAUUGUCCUAUCUUGAUAAUGCUACUAUUAGGAACUUGUCUUCAUUAGAGGAAGGUGUAUUAGUGUCCUCAAAACAGUUACAAAAUAACUAAUUCUGGCAAUGUCAAUCAUUGUCUGAAUUAUGCUGAAAGCCCACAAUUCUGUAUAUCACAUAUAUAUAUGUAAGUAAAAUGAUUCUGUCCGCUGUAACCAGAUGUCCCCAUUAUCCAUGUAAAGGAUAGAGGGCAUCGUGAAUUUUUCAUGCAGAGUGAUUUCCAUUUAAGUGCUGAUCUGGAUAACAUUGAUCUGUAGUCCCCUGGUCAUACUAUUAUUCUUUCGUAGACAUGAACAGUUUUGAUUCUUCCACGGGAAAUAUAAUUUUUUUAUUUUUUUUUUUCCUCUAGAUUGCUGUAAUGAAUAGGACCCAGAAAGAAAAAUGUUGAAUGGAGCAGGAAGCCUGUGUAUGCCAUAACAAAGAGAAGAGUUUUAUAAAGAACUUUCUAAAAAAUGCAAAAUGUUGACCAGAAGUAUCCUUUAGGAAAGUGAUACAUUUGAUUAUUAUAGCCGUAACAAUGAGCUUUAGUUACAGGAGUGGUAAAUUGAGUAUCUCACUGGGGACAAGGCUGCAGAUUAGACUUCAACUUGGAAAUGAUAUACAUUCAAAAAAACUUCACUGUUUCACAGCAGAAGUGUUUAUGGGAAGAACAGCUGAUAAGAAAAAUAUAGAAGAAGCAGUAAAGAAAAGAAGAAACAAUGUGAAAUAGGUCACCUCCCUAUGUUUUAUUAGCAGAAUCAUAAAAUUAAACAAACCUUCUGGAAGACUUAAACAUUCUCUAUGCUGACAGAGUGUUUUGUUGCUUUUCUAGUUCUGUGUGUAGCUGGAGCAAUCCUGAUGUGAGUAGCUGAAAGUCCUUGGCCUUGCAGCUGGCCCUCACAGCUCCCUGCUUUGGCCCUGUCAUUGGGAGAGGAUGGCUGGGAUGACACACUGCUGGAGACAGCCUCUGCCAAUACCAUGAGUCUUCAGGUAGCUUUUCUUAAAUAGGGCUUGGAGAUGGAUCAGUCUCACGAGAGCACUGAGGAACUCCUGUUCUCCUGAGCAUCUCUUUCCAAAAUAGUUGCAAUGGAAAUGCGCAAGGUCAGUCAGUUUAGAAAAAGGAGAGCUGUAAUAAUACACUUGAUAGUAAAUACAUCCAAACUAAGCAUGAGUGCUUCUGGUAGUUCAGCUGUACUUUGAAAUUGGCAAAAAAAAUGUCUUGAAUUGAGACUUAAAAAAAGCCACAGCCAAAACACAGUAUAUGAUCUCAGACAUCACUUGUCAGCCUAAGCAACAAGCAUCUGUUGAUGAGUGUCUUGGGACUUAUCACCAUAAACAUGCAGCAUGCUGCUCAAAACAGGAACUGGAAUUUUACAGGGUUAUACUGAAACACCAGGCAUAAAUGAAAAUCUGAAUUAAAGCGUGUCCAACAUACUAAGAGUAACAGAGGCCAG
This 1543-nucleotide long non-coding RNA is filed under the name Parus major (Great Tit). Its description in RNAcentral is "lncRNA (ENSPMJG00000002185.1)". Lineage: Eukaryota; Metazoa; Chordata; Aves; Passeriformes; Paridae. The record is from RNAcentral.